CCAGGAUUCAUCUUGGGUCUUGAUCCUUUACUGACCAUGGAUCUCUGAUUAGCUUUUGACACCUGGUGCACUGUAUGUGUGAGGCUGGUUCUGCGCUACCACAGAGGAAGGCUGUGUGGUCAGGUAGAAGUUGUCUCCAAACAGCUGUGGCUGCACUCCUGCAGAUGUAGAAGGUGGAGAUUUUCACUCCCCAAAAUGAUCGUCUGCACCCCGUGGUAUCCCCGUGUUUACAGAGAGGGCAGAGGAGAUCUGUCACUUCAGACCCACCUGGUGGCUCACAGCAACCUGGGGAGAGAACAGAAGGCAGAGGUAAGAGCUUCCAGAAUGUAGGAUUGUCACAGGGGCCAGACUACUGCUGGCUGUGGUAUUACCCAGUAGGAAAUGCAGGCAGGCAGUGUGGGAAAAGAAAUGGGUGAGACAAUCUACCAUGGCUGGGGCCGCAUCUGGCUUGUGGACAUCUCAACUGCCAUUUUAAAGGGUUUGUGGUUGUGACUAUUAUUAAAUAUCCAGAGUGUCUGUUGAGUGGACUCUGCAGCUUCUUUUGGACCAUAAUAAGCAUGUCUCCAGGGUCCACAACACCUGUUUGCUGCAUCAGUACUGGUCACUCCUCUUGAAGGCAAUGCCUUGCCACAGUUUCUAUGCCAUUAGCCUGUGCAAAACCUCUGUGGGGAAGUGAGCUGAUGCCAGGAGGGGAUACACUGUUCUACCUGUGGUGGUCUGAAUGAUUUGGCCCUCAUAGGCCAUAUGUGAAUACUUGCUCUUCUGUUGGUAGAACUUUUUGGGAAGGAUUAGGAGGUGUGGCUUUGUUGGAGGGGUUUUGUGGUGGGGGUGUUUAAGGUUUCAACAGUUCACACCAUUACCAGUGUUUCUUUCUGUCUUUCUCUUUGUCUGUCUCAUACUUGUGGAUGAUGAUUUAUUAGC
This is a long non-coding RNA of Mesocricetus auratus (golden hamster), 921 nucleotides long. RefSeq lists it as uncharacterized. The record is from RefSeq and is a predicted model, not a curated record. The transcript has 3 exons. Lineage: Eukaryota; Metazoa; Chordata; Mammalia; Rodentia; Cricetidae.